Long non-coding RNA from Cyprinus carpio (common carp), 1398 nucleotides. RefSeq lists it as uncharacterized. Lineage: Eukaryota; Metazoa; Chordata; Actinopteri; Cypriniformes; Cyprinidae. The transcript has 3 exons. The record is from RefSeq and is a predicted model, not a curated record.
ACAGUGCAACAGUUUAAUGAACAGCUACAACAGUUCCCCUUUGGACAAAACAAUAUAACUCACAGGCCUGUUUUGCUGAAGCCAUCUGCUCUGCAGCAAGGUGCCAUCCCAGGAAAAGCUGUUGAAAAACUGACCCUUUUCCGACUCUUACCUUUUUUAAUUGGAGCUCCAUCCCUCAGGACAACACUUACUGGACUUUUUAUUUAUGCUAUUUAGAUAUAUGUGACAUAGUUCUGGUACCUGUGAUCAAAACAAGUUGGUUGAGUCCAUUGUCUGCUCUCAUCACAGAAUUUCUGAAGAGUUUUCAGAAGCUUUUCCCUGACAAAUUCACUCCAAAGAUCCACUUUCUGGUUCACUAUCCUCGAUUAAUCAAACAGCACGGUCCACUGAGAGCACAUUGGUGUCUCAGGUGUGAGGCCAAACACCUGUACUUUAAACACCUUUCAUCAAUUGUAAACAAUUACCAGAAUAUUGCAAAGACUCUGGCAAAUCGCUAUCAAAUGCGCCAGUGUUGGGAAGCACAAUCAACUGGACACCAUGUCUCGGAAGAUGUCCCGUACUCUUUAAUAGAUAUACGUUUGAAUGCACUACCGUCUCAGCUUAGAGAGAUUAAUGCAGAGGACUCUGCUGAACUGAAUGAGACACUCUGGAAAACCAAACAAGUGAUAUAUGACAGAGUCAAAUACACCACUGGAGACUUCUUGAACCUUGACCUUGUGCAUGCUGAGGAAAUCCCAGUUUUUUUUUAAAGUUAUACAUAUUGUCAAGUACCACAGUCAGUGGAAAUUGUGCGGAAGACUCUACCAAACUUGGUGCUUCUCUGAGCAUCUGCAUGCUUAUGGUGUCCGAUCAACAACUCAGUGGGUGGCCAUUACACCUGGGGAGGAAACUGACUUCCAUGCCCUUGACGCAUACACCGAUCAAGAGGACAACCUGUUCAUCACACUGCUUCAUCGCCCUAACAUGAGAUAGAUGGAGCCACUCUUGCUGUUAUCUCAGAGGGGAUGUCUGAGAGGCUCAUUCUGGUCAUUAGCAAACAGAGUCUGUUUCUGGCCCAGUUGGAGAAACUUAAAAGCACACCAAUGAGCAGAGAGAACCCUCCAAGAAACGAUGAUAACUCCAGCCAAGCACAGUCCGGUCCAGAUACCUCUUUAGUUUUUCCAACAGUGCUGAGGAUGGCCAUAAACAGAAGAGAUUCUGAUCUGAAGAGUGCAAGUAAAACAAAACUACGGAGUCUACUGAUCCAGUCUCUUUUUGACCACCUCAGUAAGAAAACAAUGUAAUUUGCUACUACUUGUGCCUUUCUAGCUUGAUAAAUGCUUGAUUAAUUGCACUGCAACAAAUACAAUAUUAAUACAUGAUUCUUGCCAGACGUACAUAAGGGUCAUAUGUAACAAA